This 1338-nucleotide long non-coding RNA is filed under the name Cottoperca gobio. RNAcentral's name for it is "lncRNA (ENSCGOG00000014293.1)". The record is from RNAcentral. Lineage: Eukaryota; Metazoa; Chordata; Actinopteri; Perciformes; Bovichtidae.
GUUUUAAUUGUGUUGUCACUGUAGGCCAGGCCUAUUCAACUAGCGGCUCGUGGGCGAAUACGGCCCUUCUGAACUUUUUUUUCUGGCCCACAAGAGGUUGCAUGCAAAUCUGUCUGACAUAGCAUAUAUAAAACCAAGGCCUCAUUCACACCAAACCUGGCGAUGCGGCGAAAACCGCAGGUUUUUCCAUUCUAUUCCGAGCUGCAGCAGCGUCCGGAAGAAAACGCACUCUGUCCGCACGUGCCAUCGGCUCAGGCAAGCUCACGCAGCACACUAGGUUGGCGGGCCACAGAGAAAGUCACUCCCUUACUUACUAGCUAGGCAAGCUAACAAAACACGCUUCAAGAUGUCUCUCUCCAAGCCAAAAAAAUGUAAAGUUGAUUCUGAAAAUCGCCACUUCCAGAGCGAAUGAACGGACACAUAUUUAUUUACUUUGCCAGCCGCAACAAGUAAUAAACUGGUGUGUUUAUCGGACAAUGAAUGUAUUUCCGUGAUGAAAGAAUACAAAGUGAAGAGGCACUGCGAGUCAAGUCACGGCUAGUUUUCUGCCUGUUUUCCCGUGGGCUCAGAGGAACGGAGAAGGAAAGUACAGGGACCGUUAGCAUCAUCUGAACGGAGUCAAGUGGCUUUUAGUUGCUUUUGCACGGAACAAGAGAGCCACGAUAGCUGCUUUUUUUUGUUCUCUCCCCUCCUUAUCUCCGCUCUGUCUCUGUCUGCAGGUGUGUGCGCACGUAUCGCGCGUGUGUGUGUGUGUGUCGCGAAACAGAGCAUGUUGUGAAAAUGGACAUGGACCUGGCCCUAGAUCAUCUUCUGGUAGAUCUUAAGUCUGUGAAGUCCAAUGGGGUCUGGAGGAGGAGAAGAAGAAGAAGAAGAAGAAGAAGAAGAAGAAGAAGAAGAAGAAGAAGAAGAUCUGCCCAGGCAGCUAUAAAUGUGUUUGCAUGUUAACUGAAAGAUCAUAGUGUGUGUGUAUCUCCGAUCCUCGCUGAGGUCUCCACAUGGCAAUAGGACAGAAGCUGGCCGUGCAAGUUGCCGGGAGAGGCUGUAGGUGGAGGUGCUCUCCAGACACCGCUGACAUUCCUCUGCUGCAGCUACUCCUCUUCCCAGAUGGGUAAACAUUUUUAAAUAACUCUGUCACACUCUGCCAUACUUUGCCACACAGAGUCACACAGAGCCACACAGAGUCACACAGAUACGAUACAAGGUGCACAUCAACUCGUCAGUAGUGAUACACUCACAUACUCUUUUUAUGACCAUCAGAUCAGUUAAAAAUAAUAAUAAUAUAUUCACAACUCACUUUUCACAUUGAACAGGUGCUCUUUUAUUAAAUAAACUAAGCGC